AUGGCGACGGCGGCGCGAUUCUUGCGAAGGACGCUGCGGGCAAGCGAGGUGGCGUCUCGGUUGUUAUCUACCUCUCACAGUAUAGUUAGGCGUGCUGCAUACACUACCGGGGGAAUAAUUGAUGUUGGCCAACCAACACCCAAAUCUCAUCCUGAGUUAUUAGCUGAUGAGGAGAUUACACCAGGCAUCACAAGUGAGGAGUACAUAUCCAGAAGAAAAAAGCUUGUGGAUGCUUUACCAGAGAAGAGCUUGGCCAUAAUUGCAUCUGCAGAUCAGCAGAUGAUGACUGAUGUAGUUCCGUACUCAUUCAGACAGAAUGGUGAUUACCUGUACAUUACAGGUUGUACACAACCUGGUGGUGUAGCAGUUUUAAGUAAGGAAACUGGUUUAUGCAUGUUCAUGCCAGAUAAACAUAAGGAGGAUGUAGUUUGGGAAGGUCAGACUGCUGGAGUUGAAGCAGCUGUGGAUUUCUUCAAGGCAAAUAAAGCAUUUCCACUUAGUGAGAUGAAAAAGAUCCUUCCUGAAAUGAUUGAGCAAUCAAAAGUGGUGUAUCACAAUGCAAAGGCAUCCACAUCUUCUUAUAGGAACUUUGAUGCCUUCCGCAGGGCAUCACUCAACAAUAAAGUAAAAGAUCUUACGCAUUACACUGAUGAACUGCGGUGGAUCAAGUCAAAAUCGGAAAUCAAGUUGAUGAGGGAGUCAGCAUCUAUUGUUUCUCAGUCUCUUUUGCAGACAAUGUUGCUCUCAAGGACCCACAGAGAGGAAAGCCAGUUAGCUGCUAAAAUAGAGUAUGAGUGCAAAAUGAGAGGUGCCCAAAGAAUGGCGUUCCAUCCUGUAGUUGGUGGUGGCGCAAAUGGCAGUGUUGUACAUUACUCAAGAAAUGAUAAGAAGAUCAAAUCGGGUGAUCUUGUCCUCAUGGAUGUUGGAUGUGAGUACCAUGGCUACCUUAGUGACCUGACACGGACAUGGCCACCCUGCGGUAGAUUUUCAGCUGCUCAGGAAGAACUGUACAGUUUAAUACUGGAGACGAAUAAGGAAUGCAUAAAGCUUUGUAAACCAGGCACGAGCAUUAGAGAGAUACACCAUCAUUCGGUCAAGAUGUUGAUAAGCGGAUUCCAAGAACUUGGAAUUAUAGGGAAGGGCAAAUCUAUCCAAUACAAUUAUUUGAAUCCAACCUCAAUAGGUCAUUCUUUGGGAAUGGAUAUUCAUGACUCCACUAGCCUCACCUCCGACAAACCCUUGGAGCCAGGCGUUGUAAUAACCAUUGAACCGGGGAUCUACAUUCCCUCGGUCCCGAUACUCAACGAGAAGGCCCCGGACAGGUUCCGGGGCAUCGGAAUAAGGAUCGAGGACGAGGUCCUCAUCACCGAGAACGGCCACGAGGUGUUGACGGCGUCGGUGCCGAAGGAGAUCCCCCACCUCACCACCCUGAUGAACAUGGGCGGCGGUGGCUCCACGACGGAAUCCCAUGAAGUGAGAGCUGCUUGCAACUGA
This 1494-nucleotide ribosomal RNA is filed under the name Triticum aestivum (bread wheat). Its description in RNAcentral is "partial small subunit ribosomal RNA". The record is from RNAcentral. Lineage: Eukaryota; Viridiplantae; Streptophyta; Magnoliopsida; Poales; Poaceae.